UACCGCCUAGCCGCACCAUGCCGCGUGAGUUAUGAAGGCCUUCGGGUUGUAAAGCUCUUUCGCCAGUGAAGAUAGGGACAUUGUCCAUACCAGAAACCCCGGCUAUUUCCGUGCGACCACCCCCGGGAUUACUCCGGGGGUUAACGUUGUUCGGAAUUAAUGGGGGUAAAGUGCAUCUAAAUUACUGGGCGUAUUACGCGUGAAAUCGCGGGGCUCAACCCCAUGUCUGCCUUUAGGACUCUCCCUCGAAAGUUCGAGAGAGGUGGGUGGAAUUCCGAGUGUAAAAGUGAAAUUCAAAUAUAUGUGGAGGAACAAAAUGGGCAAAUGCGGCUCACUGCAUCGAUGCUGAAGCUGACGUGCUAAAUUGUGAGGAGCACACAGGAUUAAAUACCCUGGUAGUCCACAGGAUAAAAUAUCAUGGCAAUCCGUCCCGUAGACUACGACUCCUUGACAUUCCUAACCUAUUUAUCUUUCCGCCUCGCCAGUACGGACGCAAGAAUCACACUCAAAGGACGUGACGGAGGGU
This 526-nucleotide ribosomal RNA is filed under the name uncultured marine bacterium. Its description in RNAcentral is "partial 16S ribosomal RNA". It matches the Rfam family "Bacterial small subunit ribosomal RNA", at positions 377 to 921 of the family's 1533-position model. The record is from RNAcentral.